Long non-coding RNA from Homo sapiens (human), 2484 nucleotides. Ensembl annotates it as testis expressed 14B, pseudogene. Its record names the gene TEX14BP. NCBI's taxonomy places the organism in Eukaryota, Metazoa, Chordata, Mammalia, Primates, Hominidae. The record is from Ensembl.
ACCGCUGCCUGGAUGGCAGCACCCCCGUGCCUGCAGGCGCCUUCUUUAGUGAUGGUGCCCCUGCUGCAGGCAGGGGGUGACUUGCAACUGCAUGACCAGCGGGGUCGCACACCACAAGACUGGGCUGAGCAGGGUGGGGCCAAGCAGAACUGGGAGUUGCUGGAGUUGUUGCAGCUCUGCCGGGCCCACAUAUCAGCGUUCGUGCAUGACGGUGAGUUGCCACCCAUGGCAUCUCUGGACCAGUUGCAGGCCAGAUUUGGGAACAGCCCGCCUGGCUCCCUGUCCUCCCUGAGGCUGAUGCAGGCAGACAGGAUGCUGAGGCUAGCACAGAUCAGGAGAGCCUCCCAAGUCCCGGCCUUGGGGUUUGGUCAGCCUGUGGCCACCGGGGCUGGUAACGGGCAUCCCCCUUGUGGACCCCAAGGAGCUGCUGGCAGCCCAGGGAGAGCCUGACUGCACCUAUGAGAGCAGCUCCCCACCCUCAUGGCCAACCUCCUGUGGAUGGGUCACAAAAUGACUGUGCAGCAGCCGAAGGCCCCUGGAACCCAGACAGAUGUGCUACUGGCUGACCUUCAGCACUGCAGCAAGCUGCACCACCCUGGCCUGUUGCUGCUGAUGGCACUGAGUCCCUCUGCAGAUCUGUCGGGGCUGUGCCUUCUCUUUGAGCCUGUGUGGCUGGGCUCCCUGCAGGGGGUGCUGCACCCACCGAGACCAAGUGAGGAGGCACCUGGGACUGUGCUGGGCCUGCCGCCCCGGCCCCCUGCUGCAGCAGGUGCUAAAGGCCCUGCUGUUCCUGCAGGCCCACUGGCGAGCUCACAGUGGCUUCAGCUCUCACACCGUGUAGCUGGUGCAGCCAGGCCUGGCUAAAGUGGGCCACCUGGAGCACAGGCGCCUCCUACGCCAGCGCUGGCUGCGGCCCAGGCAGCAGAAGGGCUACCCCUGGGGAGGCCCAGGCCCAGGGCUUCCCCCGCCCCCUGAACUACACCCAUGGCUGCCACUUCAGCUGAUCUGCGGUGACAUGCCCACCACCACCUCAGACCUCUACAGCUUCUGCAUCCUGAUCCAGGAGGUCUUCACUGGAGAGCUGCCCUGGGCUGGGAGAGGGGGACCUGAGGUGAAGGCCAAGCUGGAGGCAGGGGAGAGUCCGGCCCUGGAGCCCCGGGUGCCAGCACCCUACCAGGCCCUGAUUCGAGCUGGGCUAGGCCUAGCACCUGCUGACCGCUGGGGCAGCCUGCAGAGUACCCGAUACCUACUGCGGGAGGCCCCGGCCCAGGUACAGGGCAGCCAAGACCACACCCAGGCCUGUGGCCCCUGUGAUGUCCCCAGGCCCCAUCCCAUGCCAGGUAGGAGCCAGGACGGGGCUGUGGGGGACCAAGGGAGCUGUGGGACACCUGGGCAACCCAUGCCAGCUCUCUGCCAUCCUUCUCUGCAGGCCUGAGACUCCUGAGGUCAGAGACCACAGCAGGAUCCCAAGGGGUGCAGCCUGGAACUUGGGCAGCAGCUUGACUCUAGGCAGCAGCUCUGGGCCCAGCCCAGGACCCAGCCCUGGGUCUGGCCACAGCCCCACAGCCAGGGUCAGCCUGCACUGCUGCCUGGAGCCCAGCUCAACAGUACAGAUACCCCCAGAGCCCUGCACAACUGUCCCACUGCUAACCUGUGACCCCCUCCGCCCGCCCUCCAGGAGUCACCAACCCGAAGUUCCCUGGCUGCCUCUCCUUUGACCAGGGAACUUUAGGGUCGCCCAACUGUCCCCUCACUCACCUAUGACCCUUAACCAACCCUGCUUCCCCCAGGGCCCUUCCCUGCACUCCAACUCCAGCCUCUAGGACUCAGCCUCCCUGCUGGGGACCCAGAGCUCUGCGGAACAGUUUGAGGAAGCUCUCAGCCAAGAUUCCAGCCCUGCAGGGGCUGCUGCGGCGCACACACAGGGUUAUUCUGCUGGAGCCCCAGCCCUGUGAGCCCAUCCCCAGCCUGCUGACCCACAGGGAGGCUUCCCACACACUGGGAGGCUGCUGGCAGGGAAGGCCACGAGGGCAGGCUAAGCAGAGGACCCCGAGCUCAGCCUGUGCCCCAUCUGCCCUCCCAGGCCCGCUGGAGCACCAUGGCUACCAGGUGGCAGCUCCAGCCUUCUCUCCUGCAGGCACCCGGUACUGAGCUGACUAGAGGAGGUCUCUUCUCCAGCCUGCAGAAGUGAGACCCGAGGCCUUGGAUGGGAGGACCCCAGGUAACCCUAGGUCUUUAUCCCUGAGGUAACCCUAGGUCUACCUGUGCCUCACUGCUCCCCAGGAUGGACCUGCUGGAGGAGAUCAUAGCAGAGCUACAAAAAGGAUGUCAGCUUGGAGAAAAGCCCAGCCUGAGCCCCACUCCUGACCUAGACUCCCAGGGUGCCCAUGGUUCCCCUCUCUGCAGAUACCACCUCUCAGAGGCUCCCAGGAGUAACUCCUGCCUUGGUGCCUCCCCAAAAGGAAAUAGAAUGAUAAAGUGCCC